Molecule: ribosomal RNA, 498 nt
Filed under: uncultured bacterium
Lineage: Bacteria
Description: partial 16S ribosomal RNA
Rfam family: Bacterial small subunit ribosomal RNA
Source: RNAcentral
AUUGAACGCUGGCGGCAUGCCUUACACAUGCAAGUCGAACGGUAACAGGUCUUCGGAUGCUGACGAGUGGCGAACGGGUGAGUAAUACAUCGGAACGAGCCCGAUCGUGGGGGAUAACGAAGCGAAAGCUUUGCUAAUACCGCAUAAGAUCUACGGAUGAAAGCAGGGGACCGCAAGGCCUUGCGCGAACGGAGCGGCCGAUGGCAGAUUAGGGAGUUGGUGGGAUAAAAGCUUACCAAGCCGACGAUCUGUAGCUGGUCGGAGAGGACGACCAGCCACACUGGGACUGAGACACGGCCCAGACUCCUACGGGAGGCAGCAGUGGGGAAUUUUGGACAAUGGGCGAAAGCCUGAUCCAGCCAUGCCGCGUGCAGGAUGAAGGCCUUCGGGUUGUAAACUGCUUUUGUACGGAACGAAAAGACUCUUUCUAAUAAAGAGGGUCCAUGACGGUACCGUAAGAAUAAGCACCGGCUAACUACGUGCCAGCCGCCGCGGUAA